This 468-nucleotide ribosomal RNA is filed under the name uncultured bacterium. RNAcentral's name for it is "partial 16S ribosomal RNA". It matches the Rfam family "Bacterial small subunit ribosomal RNA", at positions 28 to 507 of the family's 1533-position model. The record is from RNAcentral.
GACGAACGCUGGCGGCGUGCUUAACACAUGCAAGUCGAACGGAAAGGCCCUGCUGUUGUGUGGUGCUCGAUUGGCGAACGGUUGCGUAACACGUGAGUAACCGUCCCUAGACUUUGGGAUAACUUCAGGAAACUGUUGCUAAUACUGGCUAGUAGCUCCUGCUGCUUGUUGUUGGUUGGUAAUUUUCGGCGGUUUGGGAUGGACUCGCGGCUUAUCAGCUUGUCGGUGGGGUAGUGGCUUACCAAGGCUUUGACGGGUAGCCGGCCUGAGAGGGUGACCGGCCACAUUGGGACUGAGAUACGGCCCAGACUCCUACGGGAGGCAGCAGUGGGGAAUAUUGCACAAUGGGCGGAAGCCUGAUGCAGCAACGCCGCGUGCGGGAUGACGGCCUUCGGGUUGUAACCCGCUUUCGCCUGUGACGAAGCGUGAGUGACGGUAAUGGGUAAAGAAGCAACGGCUAACUACGUG